AUUAUUGAAAGGUGCUUGCAUCUUGAUUUAAGGGUGAACGAGUGGCGGACGGGUGAGUAACACGUGGGUAACCUGCCCUUAAGUGGGGGAUAACAUUUGGAAACAGAUGCUAAUACCGCAUAAAUCCAAGAACCGCAUGGUUCUUGGCUGAAAGAUGGCGUAAGCUAUCGCUUUUGGAUGGACCCGCGGCGUAUUAGCUAGUUGGUGAGGUAACGGCUCACCAAGGCAAUGAUACGUAGCCGAACUGAGAGGUUGAUCGGCCACAUUGGGACUGAGACACGGCCCAAACUCCUACGGGAGGCAGCAGUAGGGAAUCUUCCACAAUGGACGCAAGUCUGAUGGAGCAACGCCGCGUGAGUGAAGAAGGCUUUCGGGUCGUAAAACUCUGUUGUUGGAGAAGAAUGGUCGGCAGAGUAACUGUUGUCGGCGUGACGGUAUCCAACCAGAAAGCCACGGCUAACUACGUGCCAGCAGCCGCGGUAAUACGUAGGUGGCAAGCGUUAUCCGGAUUUAUUGGGCGUAAACGCGAGCGCAGGCGGUUUUUUAAGUCUGAUGUGAAAGCCCUCGGCUUAACCGAGGAAGUGCAUUCGGAACUGGGACACUUGAGUGCAGAAGAGGACAGUGGAACUCCAUGUGUAGCGGUGAAAUGCGUAGAUAUAUGGAAGAACACCAGUGGCGAAGGCGGCUGUCUGGUCU
Molecule: ribosomal RNA, 696 nt
Filed under: uncultured Bacilli bacterium
Lineage: Bacteria; Bacillati; Bacillota; Bacilli
Description: bacterial SSU rRNA
Rfam family: Bacterial small subunit ribosomal RNA
Source: RNAcentral